GCAGUCGAACGGGGUAGCAUACCUAGUGGCGAACGGUCGCGUAACACGUGGGCAACUGCCCUGAAGCGGGGGACAACAACUCGAAAGAGUUGCUAAUACCGCAUGUGGAUCGCUCUGGCAUCAGAGAUUAUCCAAAGCCUUCGGGCACUUCAGUGAUGGGCCCGCGGCCUAUCAGCUUGUUGGUGAGGUAACGGCCCACCAAGGCUUCGACGGGUAGCUGGUCUGAGAGGACGAUCAGCCGGAUUGGGACUGAGAUACGGCCCAGACUCCUACGGGGGGCAGCAAUUAGGAAUCUUGCACAAUGGGCGAAAGCCUGAUGCAGCGACGUCGCGUGAGGGAUGAAGUCUUUCGGGACGUAAACCUCUUUUAUCGGGGAAGAAACAAAUGACGGUACCCGGUGAAUAAGCCCCGGCUAACUACGUGCCAGCAGCCGCGGUAAUACGUAGGGGGCCAGCGUUGUCCGAAGUUACUGGGCGUAAAGAGCGCGUAGGCGGGUUUUUAAGUGAGGGGUGAAAGGUUCAGGGCUCAACCCGGACACUGCCUUUCAUACUGGGAACCUUGAGUAUGGGAGAGGCGAGUGGAAUUCUUGGUGUAGCGGUGAAAUGCGUAGAUUCAAGAGGAACACCCAUGGCGAAGGCAGCUCGCUGGCCUAUUAACUUGACGCUGAGGCGCGAAAAGCUGGGGGAGCAAACAGGAUUAGAUUACCCCUGGGUAGUCCCUAGGCCCUUAAAACCAUUCAGGACUUGGGGGUUUGGCCCUGUUACGGGGGGCAAGUUCCCGUAAGCUUAACGGCGGUUAAAGUCCCUUGGGCCUUGUGGGAGAUUACACGGUCGCCAAAGGUUGGAAAUUCCCAAGGGAUUUGGAACGGGGGGCCCC
RNAcentral lists this ribosomal RNA (876 nucleotides) under uncultured bacterium. Its description in RNAcentral is "bacterial SSU rRNA". It matches the Rfam family "Bacterial small subunit ribosomal RNA", at positions 57 to 873 of the family's 1533-position model. The record is from RNAcentral.